RNAcentral lists this ribosomal RNA (497 nucleotides) under uncultured bacterium. RNAcentral's name for it is "partial 16S ribosomal RNA". It matches the Rfam family "Bacterial small subunit ribosomal RNA", at positions 28 to 507 of the family's 1533-position model. The record is from RNAcentral.
GAUGAACGCUGGCGGCGUGCCUAAUACAUGCAAGUCGAGCGAACAGACGAGGAGCUUGCUCCUUUGACGUUAGCGGCGGACGGGUGAGUAACACGUGGAUAACCUACCUAUAAGACUGGGAUAACUUCGGGAAACCGGAGCUAAUACCGGAUAAUAUAUUGAACCGCAUGGUUCGAUAGUGAAAGAUGGCUUUGCUGUCACUUAUAGAUGGACCUGCGCCGUAUUAGCUAGUUGGUAAGGUAACGGCUUACCAAGGCGACGAUGCGUAGCCGACCUGAGAGGUGGGUAGGCCACACUGGAACUGAGACACGGUCCAGGCUCCUACGGGAGGCCGCAGUAGGGAAUCUUCCGCAAUGGGCGAAAGCAUGACGGAGCAACGCCGCGUGAGUGAUGAAGGUCUUCGGAUCGUAAAGCCCUGUUAUUAGGGGAGAACAAAUGUGUAAGUAACUGUGCACGUAUUGACGGUACCUGGUCAGAAAGCCACGGCUAACUACGUG